Molecule: small RNA, 96 nt
Filed under: Arabidopsis thaliana (thale cress)
Lineage: Eukaryota; Viridiplantae; Streptophyta; Magnoliopsida; Brassicales; Brassicaceae
Description: ATSL032780
Source: RNAcentral
AAGCCCAAAGCCAAUCCCAAAGCCAAUCCCAGGGACAGUGAAGCUUCAGAGGGUCUUUCUGUCCAGGUGCUGGUAGUCCGCAUCUUCACAGACAUG